AUUGAACGCUGGCGGAAUGCUUUACACAUGCAAGUCGAACGGCAGCACGGGGGCAACCCUGGUGGCGAGUGGCGAACGGGUGAGUAAUACAUCGGAACGUGCCCAGUCGUGGGGGAUAACGUAGCGAAAGUUACGCUAAUACCGCAUACGAUCUACGGAUGAAGGCGGGGGACCGUAAGGCCUCGCGCGAUUGGAGCGGCCGAUGUCAGAUUAGGUAGUUGGUGAGGUAAAGGCUCACCAAGCCGACGAUCUGUAGCUGGUCUGAGAGGACGACCAGCAACACUGGGACUGAGACACGGCCCAGACUCCUACGGGAGGCAGCAGUGGGGAAUUUUGGACAAUGGGCGCAAGCCUGAUCCAGCCAUUCCGCGUGCAGGACGAAGGCCUUCGGGUUGUAAACUGCUUUUGUACGGAACGAAAAGGCUCUGGUUAAUACCUGGGGCUCAUGACGGUACCGUAAGAAUAAGCACCGGCUAACUACGUGCCAGCCGCCGCGGUAA
This 500-nucleotide ribosomal RNA is filed under the name uncultured bacterium. RNAcentral describes it as "partial 16S ribosomal RNA". It matches the Rfam family "Bacterial small subunit ribosomal RNA", at positions 30 to 523 of the family's 1533-position model. The record is from RNAcentral.